Molecule: non-coding RNA, 80 nt
Filed under: unclassified sequences
Description: RT-18 RNA
Rfam family: RT-18 RNA
About the family: Clostridiales (Firmicutes). Nearby to self-splicing intron genes
Source: Rfam by way of RNAcentral
UAGCGCUUGCUAAAAAUAAAGUCGCAACUGGAUUAGUUUAGUAGCUUCUUUUAAGUGAAAAACUGAUAGACAAAAAUAAG